AUACACACACACACACACGUCUCAACAUCUUUACCCCCAUUUUUGGUGAGGGAAGCAAGCAUUUUGUUUGUUUAAGGAUCACCAUCACAUUGAAGCCACAUUAGCCCAACCUCUAAUCACACUAUGCAUAGAUUACCAGAAUGGAUUACAGUUUGAGAGCCUGAGCAUGGUGGCUGAUAUGAUCAUCGAUGAAAGUGGCAAUGAAAUAGAAGGAGUGAUCAUAACCAGGUUGCAUUCGCAACAGAAGUGGAACGUUAGCACUUCUGCAUGCCUCUUCAAACUUCUGAGGCAGCAGCUGAUCAUGCAAGAAUUUAUCCUCAUCUCCCUGAUCAAUUAAAAUUGUAGCAGAUACAUCAUGGAACUUUGAGAUCAGGGAAGUAGCAUCAUAUUCCUCCCAAUC
This 400-nucleotide unclassified non-coding RNA is filed under the name Hevea brasiliensis (rubber tree). The record is from RNAcentral. Lineage: Eukaryota; Viridiplantae; Streptophyta; Magnoliopsida; Malpighiales; Euphorbiaceae.